CGACCUGCACGAAUGGUGUAACGACUUGGGCACUGUCUCGGCCAUGAGCUCGGUGAAAUUGUAGUCGCGGUGAAGAUGCCGCGUACCCGCAACGGGACGGAAAGACCCCAUGAACCUUUACUAUAGCUUCACAUUGGUAUUGGGUAAAUGAUGUGUAGGAUAGCUGGGAGGCUUUGAAGCUGCGUCGCUAGGCGUGGUGGAGCCGUUGGUGAAAUACCAGCCUUUAUUUAUCUGAUGCCUAAUCCCGCCAAUGGCGGGAGACAUUGUGUGGUGGGUAGUUUGACUGGGGUGGUCGCCUCCAAAAGAGUAACGGAGGCUUUCAAAGGUACCCUCAGCACGCUUGGUAACCGUGCGUAGAGCGCAAUAGCAUAAGGGUGCUUGACUGUGAGACUAACAAGUCGAUCAGGGUCGAAAGACGGAUAUAGUGAUCCGGUGGUUCUGUAUGGAAGGGCCAUCGCUCAACGGAUAAAAGGUACUCCGGGGAUAACAGGCUGAUACCGCCCAAGAGUUCAUAUCGACGGCGGUGUUUGGCACCUCGAUGUCGGCUCAUCGCAUCCUGGGGCUGGAGAAGGUCCCAAGGGUUGGGCUGUUCGCCCAUUAAAGUGGCACGCGAGCUGGGUUCAGAACGUCGCGAGACAGUUCGGUCUCUAUCUACAGUGGGCGUUAGAGAUUUGAGUGGACCUGCUUCUAGUACGAGAGGACCGAAGCGGA
RNAcentral lists this ribosomal RNA (711 nucleotides) under Azadinium spinosum. Its description in RNAcentral is "partial Bacterial large subunit ribosomal RNA". It matches the Rfam family "Bacterial large subunit ribosomal RNA", at positions 1984 to 2701 of the family's 2925-position model. Lineage: Eukaryota; Dinophyceae; Gonyaulacales; Amphidomataceae. The record is from RNAcentral.